Molecule: ribosomal RNA, 530 nt
Filed under: uncultured eukaryote
Lineage: Eukaryota
Description: SSU rRNA
Rfam family: Eukaryotic small subunit ribosomal RNA
Source: RNAcentral
UAGUCAUAUGCUUGUCUCAAAGAUUAAGCCAUGCAUGUCUAAGCACAAGCCGAUUAAUGGUGAAGCCGCGAAUGGCUCAUUACAACAGCCAUAGUUUCUUAGACCUUACUUUUCUACUUGGAUGACUGUGGUAAUUCUAGAGCUAAUACACGCAAACAAGCUCAGACCUUACGGAAUGAGCGCAUUUAUUAGAACAAAAACCAAUCGGGCUUCGGUCCGUCAUUUGGUGAAUCUGAAUAACUUUGCUGAUCGCACGGUCUUCGUACCGGCGACAUAUCUUUCAAAUGUCUGCCUUAUCAACUUUCGAUGGUAGUUUAUGCGCCUACCAUGGUUGUAACGGGUAACGGAGAAUAAGGGUUCGACUCCGGAGAGGGAGCCUGAGAAACGGCUACCACAUCCAAGGAAGGCAGCAGGCACGCAAAUUACCCACUCCCGGCACGGGGAGGUAGUGACGAAAAAUAACGAGACGGCUCGCUAUGCGGUCCGUCAUCGGAAUGGGUACAAUUUAAAUCCUUUAACGAGGAUCUAUU